UUAAGCGACUAAGCGUACACGGUGGAUGCCCUGGCAGUCAGAGGCGAUGAAGGACGUGCUAAUCUGCGAAAAGCGCCGGCGAGGUGAUAUGAACCCUUGACCCGGCGAUGUCCGAAUGGGGAAACCCAGUGUGAUUCGUCACACUAUCGUUAACUGAAUACAUAGGUUAACGAGGCGAACCGGGGGAACUGAAACAUCUAAGUACCCCGAGGAAAAGAAAUCAACCGAGAUUCCCCCAGUAGCGGCGAGCGAACGGGGAGCAGCCCGGAGUCUGAAUCAGCUUGUGUGUUAGUGGAACGGUCUGGAAAGUCCGACGGUACAGGGUGAUAGUCCCGUACACGAAAGCACACUUGCUGUGAACUCGAAGAGUAGGGCGGGACACGUGGUAUCCUGUCUGAAUAUGGGGGGACCAUCCUCCAAGGCUAAAUACUCCUGACUGACCGAUAGUGAACCAGUACCGUGAGGGAAAGGCGAAAAGAACCCCGGCGAGGGGAGUGAAAAAGAACCUGAAACCGUGUACGUACAAGCAGUGGGAGCACCUUCGUGGUGUGACUGCGUACCUUUUGUAUAAUGGGUCAGCGACUUAUAUUCUGUAGCAAGGUUAACCGUAUAGGGGAGCCGAAGGGAAACCGAGUCUUAACUGGGCGUUAAGUUGCAGGGUAUAGACCCGAAACCCGGUGAUCUAGCCAUGGGCAGGUUGAAGGUUGGGUAACACUAACUGGAGGACCGAACCGACUAAUGUUGAAAAAUUAGCGGAUGACCUGUGGCUGGGGGUGAAAGGCCAAUCAAACCGGGAGAUAGCUGGUUCUCCCCGAAAGCUAUUUAGGUAGCGCCUCGUGAACUCAUCUUCGGGGGUAGAGCACUGUUUCGGCUAGGGGGCCAUCCCGGCUUACCAACCCGAUGCAAACUACGAAUACCGAAGAAUGUUAUCACGGGAGACACACGGCGGGUGCUAACGUCCGUCGUGAAGAGGGAAACAACCCAGACCGCCAGCUAAGGUCCCAAAGUCAUGGUUAAGUGGGAAACGAUGUGGGAAGGCACAGACAGCCAGGAUGUUGGCUUAGAAGCAGCCAUCAUUUAAAGAAAGCGUAAUAGCUCACUGGUCGAGUCGGCCUGCGCGGAAGAUGUAACGGGGCUAAACCAUGCACCGAAGCUGCGGCAGCGACACUAUGUGUUGUUGGGUAGGGGAGCGUUCUGUAAGCCGUUGAAGGUGUGCUGUGAGGCAUGCUGGAGGUAUCAGAAGUGCGAAUGCUGACAUAAGUAACGAUAAAGCGGGUGAAAAGCCCGCUCGCCGGAAGACCAAGGGUUCCUGUCCAACGUUAAUCGGGGCAGGGUGAGUCGACCCCUAAGGCGAGGCCGAAAGGCGUAGUCGAUGGGAAACAGGUUAAUAUUCCUGUACUUGGUGUUACUGCGAAGGGGGGACGGAGAAGGCUAUGUCAGCCGGGCGACGGUUGUCCCGGUUUAAGCAUGUAGGCGGAGGUUCCAGGUAAAUCCGGUACCUUAUUAACGCUGAGGUGUGAUGACGAGGCACUACGGUGCUGAAGUGAUAAAUGCCCUGCUUCCAGGAAAAGCCUCUAAGCAUCAGGUAACACGAAAUCGUACCCCAAACCGACACAGGUGGUCAGGUAGAGAAUACCAAGGCGCUUGAGAGAACUCGGGUGAAGGAACUAGGCAAAAUGGUGCCGUAACUUCGGGAGAAGGCACGCUGAUGUGUAGGUGAAGUCCCUGCGGACGGAGCUGAAAUCAGUCGAAGAUACCAGCUGGCUGCAACUGUUUAUUAAAAACACAGCACUGUGCAAACACGAAAGUGGACGUAUACGGUGUGACGCCUGCCCGGUGCCGGAAGGUUAAUUGAUGGGGUUAGCUGUAAGGCGAAGCUCUUGAUCGAAGCCCCGGUAAACGGCGGCCGUAACUAUAACGGUCCUAAGGUAGCGAAAUUCCUUGUCGGGUAAGUUCCGACCUGCACGAAUGGCGUAAUGAUGGCCAGGCUGUCUCCACCCGAGACUCAGUGAAAUUGAACUCGCUGUGAAGAUGCAGUGUACCCGCGGCAAGACGGAAAGACCCCGUGAACCUUUACUAUAGCUUGACACUGAACACUGGUCCUUGAUGUGUAGGAUAGGUGGGAGGCUUUGAAGCGUGGACGCCAGUCUGCGUGGAGCCGCCCUUGAAAUACCACCCUUUAAUGGCUGGUGUUCUAACGUAGACCCGUAAUCCGGGUUGCGGACAGUGUCUGGUGGGUAGUUUGACUGGGGCGGUCUCCUCCCAAAGAGUAACGGAGGAGCACGAAGGUUGGCUAAUCCUGGUCGGACAUCAGGAGGUUAGUGCAAUGGCAUAAGCCAGCUUGACUGCGAGCGUGACGGCGCGAGCAGGUGCGAAAGCAGGUCAUAGUGAUCCGGUGGUUCUGAAUGGAAGGGCCAUCGCUCAACGGAUAAAAGGUACUCCGGGGAUAACAGGCUGAUACCGCCCAAGAGUUCAUAUCGACGGCGGUGUUUGGCACCUCGAUGUCGGCUCAUCACAUCCUGGGGCUGAAGUAGGUCCCAAGGGUAUGGCUGUUCGCCAUUUAAAGUGGUACGCGAGCUGGGUUUAGAACGUCGUGAGACAGUUCGGUCCCUAUCUGCCGUGGGCGCUGGAGAAUUGAGGGGGGCUGCUCCUAGUACGAGAGGACCGGAGUGGACGCAUCACUGGUGUUCGGGUUGUCAUGCCAAUGGCACUGCCCGGUAGCUAAAUGCGGAAGAGAUAAGUGCUGAAAGCAUCUAAGCACGAAACUUGCCCCGAGAUGAGUUCUCCCUGAGACUUUAAGUCUCCUGAAGGAACGUUGAAGACGACGACGUUGAUAGGUCGGGUGUGUAAGCGCAGCGAUGCGUUGAGCUAACCGAUACUAAUGAACCGUGAGGCUUAACCUU
Molecule: ribosomal RNA, 2903 nt
Filed under: Enterobacter cloacae
Lineage: Bacteria; Pseudomonadati; Pseudomonadota; Gammaproteobacteria; Enterobacterales; Enterobacteriaceae
Also listed under: 2 other names
Description: bacterial LSU rRNA
Rfam family: Bacterial large subunit ribosomal RNA
Source: RNAcentral